UUUUUUUUUUUUUUUGUUAAAUAAUUAUAACAAUUAAUGUGAAAAUAGAGUAACUGUUCUCUAACUAUUAAAUUCAGUUCAGUUAGUACAAUAUAUAAUAUAUAAUAAAAUAAAUAUAUAUUUGUAUAUACUUCAACAAAGUAUUGAAAUUUGGUUUUUAUAUUAUUUUAAUUUGACAUAUAUAUUUCACCUAAAACGAGAAUUCGCUCUACCUUUUAAUUUAUACCAAUUACAUUGUGAUUUGGAGGAGAAGGAUAAUCGGAUGAGUCUGGAAAGAUCGGUGGGACUGCAGUAUCGUAGAAGCUGAAGAGAGUGGUAAAUGAUUGUGAAUUUAAUUUAUUAACACGAAAUCAAACAGAAUAUAGUUUUAGGUAUGUGUUUUCAUUUGUAAACAUAAAAUCAAGAUGCAUGGUUUUCGGUAAGAAAUAUAGCAAUUUUGAAAAAUGAUUAACAUUUUAUUACAAAGUAUUAAAAAACACAUAACAAUUGUAACUACCAUUUGACUAAAAAUUUUAAUUAAGUUUACUAGAAUUCAAUAAGAACGUUAUAACUAUCUAAUUAAAAGAACUUCAGAUAAAUACUUGAGAUAAUACAAUCAAAUAAAAAGAAAAAUGUUUAAUGUUUAAUGUACAAUUGAAUUAAAUUCUGAGUUGAGCUAGGAAUAUUUUGUUUUAUUUUUCUACUUGUUCAGUGAUGUUUAAAAAAGAACAUUGAACAUUUUCUGUAAUAUAAAUCAAGUCUGGAUGAUAAUUUAAAGAGUUAUUUUCAAUUGUUUUUGUAAGCAUAAAUAAAAACUAUCAACAAUCGUUGGAAAUAUUUAAACAAAUUAAAGUUUUUCAAAACAUAGAUGAGAUCAGUUCAGAAUCGAUAUUGAGUGAAAUUAUACCCAACACAACAUUUUUUAACGUGCUUCUAAUAAAUUAUAAACUAUAAAUAUUAAAAUAUUUUUUUCUGAAAAUGCAAUUUAUUUAUGGAUACGUACUAGCAUGCAGUAUUUAGCUCUUAAAAAAACAAAUGCAUUUAAAUGCUAAACAAGCACUGUACUAAAAUUGAUCAUUAAUAACUUUGAAUGAGAUAAGUAUAAUACAAUUUCAAGUAAAAAUUACAGUACGUGACAAAUUAAAUUGUAGAUUCGUUACCACUCGCUUUAUUUACCACAGAUCGGUACCGCCAUGAGAUUUGAUAUUAAAUUUGAAUGCAAUAAUAAAUCAUCGCGUCCAUAAAACGAUUCUACUCAAAACUCGAUUUAAAUCAAGUUGCGAGCAUUUCUUCAAAAUUGUUUUACUCUUCUCAGUAGUUUUUCUUUAUGCUUAGGCAAACUUUAAAGAAAAUCAAAUAUAGACUCGAUUUCCGAACUUUUUAAUGUGCUACAUGAAACGAUUGAAAGCACUCUAUCAACUCAAAACGUGUUCGCAAAAAAAAAAGUUUAGGUACAAAUAAACAAAAUUAUAACCAUUCAUAAAUGUUAUCUUUGUUUUAUUUUACUUUAGAAAUUAAGCCAAUCUUAAAGGUUCAAUAUAUUUAUGUAAUUUAUUACUUAAUAUAAUAUAACAUUAGUAUAUGGAAAUAUGUGACACAAUAUUAUAUAUAAAUAAAUGUAUUCUUACAAAAAUAAAUAAAAAAUUAUUUGAAUUAUGAUAGUGUGCAAUUUUAAUUUUAAAAUUAAUUUAUUCAAGUAAAAUCAAUUUUUAAUAAGUUUGAUGGUCCAUUCACUACUACCCCUAGAGUAAAGUAGAGUAAAGUAAGCCAUAGCGUACUAAAAAUGAUUAUUAGUUCUUGAGUAUUUUAAUAAUAUUUAAAUAUCUUGGAAAUAUUAUUACUAUGAAGUAUAAUUAUACAAUGAACA
Molecule: long non-coding RNA, 1846 nt
Organism: Aphis gossypii (cotton aphid)
Lineage: Eukaryota; Metazoa; Arthropoda; Insecta; Hemiptera; Aphididae
Exons: 3
Source: RefSeq, a predicted model, not a curated record